GGUUAAGUUAAUAAGGGCGCACGGUGGAUGCCUUGGCACUAGAAGCCGAAGAAGGACGUGACUAACGACGAAAUGCUUUGGGGAGCUGUAAGUAAGCGCUGAUCCAGAGAUGUCCGAAUGGGGGAACCCACUAGUUAAUGACUAGUAUCCAUAUCUGUUAAGGAUAUGAGAAGGAAGACGCAGUGAACUGAAACAUCUAAGUAGCUGCAGGAAGAGAAAGCAAAAGCGAUUGCCUUAGUAGCGGCGAGCGAAACGGCAGGAGGGCAAACCGAAGUGUUUACACUUCGGGGUUGUAGGACUGCGAUAUAGGAUUAAUCAUUAUAGAAGAAUUACCUGGGAAGGUAAGCCAAAGAGAGUAACAGCCUCGUAUUUAAAAUGAUAGAUUAACCUUAGCAGUAUCCUGAGUACGGCGAGACACGCGAAAUCUCGUCGGAAUCUGGGAGGACCAUCUCCCAACCCUAAAUACUCUCUAGUGACCGAUAGUGAACCAGUACCGUGAGGGAAAGGUGAAAAGCACCCCGGGAGGGGAGUGAAAUAGAACCUGAAACCGUGUGCCUACAACAAGUUCGAGCCCGUUAAUGGGUGAGAGCGUGCCUUUUGUAGAAUGAACCGGCGAGUUACGAUAUGAUGCGAGGUUAAGUUGAAGAGACGGAGCCGUAGGGAAACCGAGUCUUAAUAGGGCGUCAUAGUAUCAUGUUGUAGACCCGAAACCAUGUGACCUACCCAUGAGCAGGUUGAAGGUGAGGUAAAACUCACUGGAGGACCGAACCAGGGCACGUUGAAAAGUGCUUGGAUGACUUGUGGGUAGCGGAGAAAUUCCAAACGAACUUGGAGAUAGCUGGUUCUCUCCGAAAUAGCUUUAGGGCUAGCGUCGAUGUUAAGUCUCUUGGAGGUAGAGCACUGUUUGGGUGAGGGGUCCAUCCCGGAUUACCAAUCUCAGAUAAACUCCGAAUGCCAACGAGAUAUAAUCGGCAGUCAGACUGCGAGUGCUAAGAUCCGUAGUCGAAAGGGAAACAGCCCAGACCACCAGCUAAGGUCCCAAAAUAUAUGUUAAGUGGAAAAGGAUGUGGGGUUGCACAGACAACUAGGAUGUUAGCUUAGAAGCAGCUAUUCAUUCAAAGAGUGCGUAAUAGCUCACUAGUCGAGUGACCCUGCGCCGAAAAUGUACCGGGGCUAAAACAUAUUACCGAAGCUGUGGAUGACACAAAAGUGUCAUGGUAGGAGAGCGUUCUAUGUGUGAAGAAGGUGUACCGUGAGGAGCGCUGGAACGCAUAGAAGUGAGAAUGCCGGUAUGAGUAGCGCAAGACAGGUGAGAAUCCUGUCCACCGUAAGACUAAGGUUUCCAGGGGAAGGCUCGUCCGCCCUGGGUUAGUCGGGACCUAAGGAGAGACCGAAAGGUGUAUCCGAUGGACAACAGGUUGAUAUUCCUGUACUAGAGUAUAUAGUGAUGGAGGGACGCAGUAGGCUAACUAAACCAGACGAUUGGAAGUGUCUGGUCAAACAGUGAGGUGUGAUAUGAGUCAAAUGCUUAUAUCUUUAACAUUGAGCUGUGACGAGGAGCGAAGUUUAGUAGCGAAGUUAGUGAUGUCACACUGCCAAGAAAAGCUUCUAGCGAUACAUAUACUCUACCCGUACCGCAAACCGACACAGGUAGUCGAGGCGAGUAGCCUCAGGUGAGCGAGAGAACUCUCGUUAAGGAACUCGGCAAAAUGGCCCCGUAACUUCGGGAGAAGGGGCGCUGAUUUUAGAUCAGCCGCAGUGAAUAGGCCCAAGCAACUGUUUAUCAAAAACACAGCUCUCUGCUAAAUCGUAAGAUGAUGUAUAGGGGGUGACGCCUGCCCGGUGCUGGAAGGUUAAGAGGAGUGCUUAGCGUAAGCGAAGGUAUGAAUUGAAGCCCC
Molecule: ribosomal RNA, 1898 nt
Filed under: Vibrio cholerae
Lineage: Bacteria; Pseudomonadati; Pseudomonadota; Gammaproteobacteria; Vibrionales; Vibrionaceae
Description: partial 23S ribosomal RNA
Rfam family: Bacterial large subunit ribosomal RNA
Source: RNAcentral